CGAACUUCCUGCAAUCUAUAAUGAUAAUCAUGUAAUUAAGUGUAUUCAUUAUUCACACAAGUCAUUCAAUCGAAAGUAAGAGACAGAAUACCUUAGUUGAAGCUUGUUAAAAAGUGGAACCAAUACCAAUUAAUUGAGGAAAUUCAAACAGAAACUGAAAACAGAUGCAGAAUCGGGACUAGAAGUCAUCAACAACAAAAGAAUUACAAUCGCCUUCUCUGAAUAAAGAGAACCACAAUUGGAGAGGGAGGAAGAGCACAGGAUUUUGGAAUUCAAUUAGAGCAACAUUCAAGCAAGUAUAUUAGUGGGCUCACGGCUGAUGGCUGAUUGAAUGGUUGAUGGGCGAUUGAAGGGUGGUAAUUUGGGAGAGAACGGCAAUUGGAGAGAGCAGGAAAAAAUCGCAGGAAGAGGAAAGACGUCGACUGUGCUUUGUAG
Molecule: long non-coding RNA, 435 nt
Filed under: Olea europaea subsp. europaea
Lineage: Eukaryota; Viridiplantae; Streptophyta; Magnoliopsida; Lamiales; Oleaceae
Source: RNAcentral